This 242-nucleotide ribosomal RNA is filed under the name uncultured bacterium. RNAcentral describes it as "partial 16S ribosomal RNA". It matches the Rfam family "Bacterial small subunit ribosomal RNA", at positions 15 to 253 of the family's 1533-position model. The record is from RNAcentral.
GAUCCUGGCUCAGGAUGAACGCUAGCGACAGGCUUAACACAUGCAAGUCGAGGGGCAUCAUGAGGUAGCAAUACCUUGAUGGCGACCGGCGCACGGGUGAGUAACGUGUAUGCAACCUGCCCGAUACCGGGGUAUAGCCCAUGGAAACGUGGAUUAACACCACAUAGUACUUUUAUCCUGCCUGGGAUGGGAGUUAAAUGUUCAAGGUAUCGGAUGGGCAUGCGUCCUAUUAGUUAGUUGGG